This 445-nucleotide ribosomal RNA is filed under the name uncultured bacterium. Its description in RNAcentral is "bacterial SSU rRNA". It matches the Rfam family "Bacterial small subunit ribosomal RNA", at positions 330 to 792 of the family's 1533-position model. The record is from RNAcentral.
CCCAGACUCCUACGGGAGGCAGCAGUGGGGAAUAUUGCACAAUGGGGGAAACCCUGAUGCAGCGACGCCGCGUGAGUGAAGAAGUAUUUCGGUAUGUAAAGCUCUCUCAGCAGGGAAGAUAAUGACGGUACCUGAGUAAGAAGCCCCGGCUAACUACGUGCCAGCAGCCGCGGUAAUACGUAGGGGGCAAGCGUUAUCCGGAUUUACUGGGUGUAAAGGGAGCGUAGACGGCAUGGCAAGUCUGAAGUGAAAGCCCGGGGCUCAACCGCGGGACUGCUUUGGAAACUGUUAAGCUGGAGUGCAGGAGAGGUAAGUGGAAUUCCUAGUGUAGCGGUGAAAUGCGUAGAUAUUAGGAGGAACACCAGUGGCGAAGGCGGCUUACUGGACUGUAACUGACGUUGAGGCUCGAAAGCGUAGGGAGCAAACAGGAUUAGAUACCCGGGUA